GACGAACGCUGGCGGCGUGCUUAACACAUGCAAGUCGAACGGCAAGGCCCUGCUUUUGUGGGGUGCUCGAGUGGCGAACGGGUGAGUAACACGUGAGUAACCUGCCCUUGACUUUGGGAUAACUUCAGGAAACUGGGGCUAAUACCGGAUAGGAGCUCCUGCUGCAUGGUGGGGGUUGGAAAGUUUCGGCGGUUGGGGAUGGACUCGCGGCUUAUCAGCUUGUUGGUGGGGUAGUGGCUUACCAAGGCUUUGACGGGUAGCCGGCCUGAGAGGGUGACCGGCCACAUUGGGACUGAGGUACGGCCCAGACUCCUACAGGAGGCAGCAGGGGGGAAUAUUGCACAAUGGGCGGAAGCCUGAUGCAGCAACGCCGCGUGCGGGAUGACGGCCUUCGGGUUGUAAACCGCUUUCGCCUGUGACGAAGCGUGAGUGACGGUAAUGGGUAAAGAAGCACCGGCUAACUACGUG
This 468-nucleotide ribosomal RNA is filed under the name uncultured bacterium. RNAcentral describes it as "partial 16S ribosomal RNA". It matches the Rfam family "Bacterial small subunit ribosomal RNA", at positions 28 to 507 of the family's 1533-position model. The record is from RNAcentral.